Capra hircus (goat) is the source of this 746-nucleotide long non-coding RNA. RefSeq lists it as uncharacterized. The transcript has 2 exons. The record is from RefSeq and is a predicted model, not a curated record. NCBI's taxonomy places the organism in Eukaryota, Metazoa, Chordata, Mammalia, Artiodactyla, Bovidae.
AGGGCAGAGCCCAAGGCCAGGAUAAAAGGGCCCUGGGGCCAGAGCACCUCCAUACACUCCUCUCCUGAGGUGCUGAAGACUCUCUGCUGCGUGUGCACUGCUCCUGAACCCACCCACCGAGAUGUCCUGCCAGCAGAACCAGCAACAGUGUCAGCCUCCUCCCAAGUGUGCCCCCAAGUGCCCCACUCCUAAAUGCCCCCCAAAGUGCCCCCCAGUCUCCUCCUGCUGUGGCCCCAGCUCCGGGUCUGGGGGCUGCUGCAGCUCCAGCUCCGGGGGCUGCUGCAGCUCUGGGUCUGGGGGCUGCUGCCUGAGCCACCACAGGCGCCGCAGGUCCCACCACUGCAGACCCCAGAGGUCUGACUGCUGCAGCCAGCCCUCAGGGGGCUCCGGGUGCUGUGGAGCGGGGAGUGGUCAGUCCUCUGGAGGCGGCUGCUGCUGAAGUGGACCCUGAGCCAAGAAGAGCUGAAUUAGAGGCAUGAAAAGGACAAGGCCAUCUUCCUUCGGCCUGACUGCUGAGACGUAUCAGUGAAGAUUUCAAAUUUUGUCCUAGAAGUUUCUUCUGACCUGGAAUCCAGAAAUCUGUGUUCUUUGCUAAAAACUCAUCUGCCGAUCCCUGAUCCCAUCUCUUCAAGCUGCCUUGGGAACCCCAGAGAAUAAUUCUUAUGCCACCGGUAGUUCCCUACCUGAAAUGAAACAAUAAAACAAAUCAUCCUGAAAUGAAACAAUAAAACAAAUCAUCCGUUUAC